Molecule: long non-coding RNA, 418 nt
Filed under: Elaeis guineensis (African oil palm)
Lineage: Eukaryota; Viridiplantae; Streptophyta; Magnoliopsida; Arecales; Arecaceae
Description: long non-coding RNA (EGUI_LNC062442)
Source: RNAcentral
UUGUGCUAAUUUGACCUAUCUGGAUGUCAGAAAUCAUUGCUAGAUGGUAUCUCGAUUAGGACAAGAAUCAGUUCCUGUGCUACCGACUUAGUGUUUGAAUUUAUGGAGCCAUGCACACAAAUCAGAUAAAGUAGAAAAGUAUUAACCUAGGUUUAUGUGUCCAAUUUGAAGUACUUGACUUGAUUGAAAAUAUAAGCUAACUUGAUUGAGAAUUAAGUUAUGGGUCAAAUGGGAUUGAAGAGUUGACUAUGUCUAGCUAGCACUAUACAUGAGGUUCAGGUUCAAUCCUGAGGAUGAACAGUUUCUGAUCUAUGAUCUAUGAAGUCUAUGAAAAAUUAGAUUUAAGUACUGAUUAAUUUUAAAUUAGAUCUAAAUUAAUGAGACUUAAUUAGAUUCAAAAUUUUAAAUUAGACUUGGU